CCUUCUUUAGGGGCGGCAGCUGGUUGUCUUGCACGAGGCCGAAGACGUCCAGCAGGCGCAGGGAGGGCAGCGUUUGACCCAGAUCCCUGCAGGAAUGGAACAUGACGUUGAGUCUGCAGAAGGGAACACCCUAAACGCUGAUGGACCCGACGGUACCUUAAAUCCAGGUGUUGAACUUCAGGACAUCUGUCGACCAGGAUCUUUACAUCUGUAACACCAGCACAUCGUUCCAUCAGUGACAGAAAAAUGAUCACUCGCACAAACUAUUCACUUGGCAGUGAAGGAAAAUAAAUAAAAAUGAUAAAAAACUCCUCUGCCUUCACUGUCAUCCAACACUUCCCUUUCCCCAUGUACACUAAGAUUAGAGUUUAAAUGUCAAUUAAAUAAAUAAAAUAGAACUAUGCUAACAGCUGCUUUAAUUCGUGGAAUCUGACUUGAUUAAAAAGGUAAAAACUAACUAUAACAGCUUGAGCCGUCCCAUUUUUGAUUCUCAGAUUGACCCCAUCCUUAUAUUGUGUGGUGGAAAUUUCUUCAUUCAGUCUGCUUUUGUCUGAGUUGUUUUAUUCUUCAGCUGAAGGAUAAUUAGA
Oryzias melastigma (Indian medaka) is the source of this 587-nucleotide long non-coding RNA. RefSeq lists it as uncharacterized. The record is from RefSeq and is a predicted model, not a curated record. The transcript is spliced from 2 exons. Lineage: Eukaryota; Metazoa; Chordata; Actinopteri; Beloniformes; Adrianichthyidae.